CUCCUAGUGGCCAGUUCUGCUUUAGAGGUGGCCAGCAAAUCUGCCUUUUUAAGUGCUGUCAGGGCUUCCUGAUGUGCAAUCCAUCCUCCUCUCCUGUGCACUGCUGGGGAGCUGUGUCAGAGAAGAAGACUCAUGCACUGCCAAAACCUGUGUGAGGAUGGAGAAAUUGUGACUGGAAAGCAGCAGGCCAGAGAGAAGCAUUCCUGUAGAGACAGUUACAGGUAUUUGCUUGCAGACCAGUCACCCACUGCCAUGAACGUUGCAGUGGGAGGCCUCAUUUGGGAGCCAAGAGUCAUCUUCUGCCUGCUUGUUCCAGCUACA
Ficedula albicollis (Collared flycatcher) is the source of this 321-nucleotide long non-coding RNA. RefSeq lists it as uncharacterized. The transcript has 3 exons. The record is from RefSeq and is a predicted model, not a curated record. NCBI's taxonomy places the organism in Eukaryota, Metazoa, Chordata, Aves, Passeriformes, Muscicapidae.